Molecule: ribosomal RNA, 914 nt
Filed under: Meripilus sanguinolentus
Lineage: Eukaryota; Fungi; Basidiomycota; Agaricomycetes; Polyporales; Meripilaceae
Description: Rigidoporus sanguinolentus partial 25S ribosomal RNA
Rfam family: Eukaryotic large subunit ribosomal RNA
Source: RNAcentral
GAACUAACAAGGAUUCCCCUAGUAACUGCGAGUGAAGCGGGAAAAGCUCAAAUUUAAAAUCUGGCAGUCUUUGAUUGUCCGAGUUGUAAUCUGGAGAAGUGCUUUCCGCGCCGGACCGUGUACAAGUCUCUUGGAAUAGAGCGUCAUAGAGGGUGAGAAUCCCGUCUUUGACACGGACUACCGGUGCUUUGUGAUGCGCUUUCAAAGAGUCGAGUUGUUUGGGAAUGCAGCUCAAAAUGGGUGGUAAAUUCCAUCUAAAGCUAAAUAUUGGCGAGAGACCGAUAGCGAACAAGUACCGUGAGGGAAAGAUGAAAAGCACUUUGGAAAGAGAGUUAAACAGUACGUGAAAUUGCUGAAAGGGAAACACUUGAAGUCAGUCGCGUUGUUCAGAACUCAGCCUGGCCUUGGCCUGGUGCAUUUUCUGAACGACGGGCCAGCAUCAAUUUUGACUGUUGGAUAAAGGUUAGGGAAAUGUGGCUUCUUCGGGAGUGUUAUAGUCCUUGGCUGCAUACAAUGGUUGGGAUUGAGGAACUCAGCAUGCCUUUAUGGUCGGGGUUCGCCCACGUUCAUGCUUAGGAUGCUGGCGUAAUGGCUUUAAAUGACCCGUCUUGAAACACGGACCAAGGAGUCUAACAUGCCUGCAAGUGUUUGGGUGGAAAACCCGAGCGCGCAAUGAAAGUGAAAGUUGGGAUCCCUGUCGUGGGGAGCACCGACGCCCGGACCAGACCUUCUGUGACGGAUCCGCGGUGGAGCAUGUAUGUUGGGACCCGAAAGAUGGUGAACUAUGCCUGAAUAGGGUGAAGCCAGAGGAAACUCUGGUGGAGGCUCGGAGCGAUUCUGACGUGCAAAUCGAUCGUCAAAUUUGGGUAUAGGGGCGAAAGACUAAUCGAACCAUNNNNNNNNNNNNNNNNNNN